AUACGGAGGAUCCGAGCGUUAUCCGGAUUUAUUGGGUUUAAAGGGUGCGCAGGCGGCCAUUUAAGUCAGCGGUUAAAUCGUGGGGCUCAACCCCAUUCUGCCGUUGAUACUGGGUGGCUUGAUUGCGGUCGAGGUUGGCGGAAUUCGUUGUGUAGCGGGGAAAUGCAUAGAAAUGACGAAGAACACCGAUUGCGUAGGCAGCUGACCAGACUGCAAAUGACGCUCAUGCACGAAAGUGCGGGGAUCGAACAGGAUUAGAUACCCUGGUAGUCCGCACAGUAAACGAUGAAUACUUGUUUUCGGCGAUAUAAUGUCGGAGGCAAAGCGAAAGCGAUAAGUAUUCCACCUGGGGAGUACGCCGGCAACGGUGAAACUCAAAUGAAUUGACGGGG
Molecule: ribosomal RNA, 392 nt
Filed under: uncultured bacterium
Lineage: Bacteria
Description: partial 16S ribosomal RNA
Rfam family: Bacterial small subunit ribosomal RNA
Source: RNAcentral